GCCUUGGCGCAGUCUGUCAGUCGUGAGUAGACAGCGUCGCGGGAAGGAGGAAGUGGUCCGUGGGGUAGUUGUGUGCGGCAGGUUGGCCGCUCCGAAGUGAGUGUGUGCCACACUGUUUCCAUUGCGACGAGCUGAAGCUUACAAGAUAUGGAGACGAAACUGGCCAUGAUGUAUAUACUGAUGGCCACCCUGCUGCCAGGCUUAAUUCGAA
Zootermopsis nevadensis is the source of this 211-nucleotide non-coding RNA. NCBI's taxonomy places the organism in Eukaryota, Metazoa, Arthropoda, Insecta, Blattodea, Termopsidae. The record is from RefSeq and is a predicted model, not a curated record.